Molecule: long non-coding RNA, 918 nt
Filed under: Stegodyphus dumicola
Lineage: Eukaryota; Metazoa; Arthropoda; Arachnida; Araneae; Eresidae
Description: uncharacterized LOC118197635, transcript variant X2
Source: RNAcentral
CCGAGGAGAGCGAUCUCUAAUAAUAACAAUUAUUACUCCCCCACCCCACCUCUUUCAUUCACGUUUCGGACUCGCAGUAUAGAGGUUAAGGAUAGAAGAAAGAAGCUAAGAGUGGAAAAAGAAAAGCUAGCUUUCACGCGGAAUAUAUGCUCUUAGCGAAAAGUCCUGAUAACCAUAAUCUGAGACUAAAGGCCCUUUUCCUUUAAACGAUGAUAUAGCUGGUGUUGCGUCCGAGUCCUCAUUACGUUGUUCGUUCGGGGACAAGGGAAGAGUUGAGCACUGUGAUUUUCAAUUAUGUCGGAAAGUGGUUCUUCGGAUGAUGAUUUUCCACCAUCUAAUCGUCCACGAACCUCCGAAGAGGAUGGAUGGUGAAAGCACUUGUCCUCAGAAGGAUUAUGCCUGUACUGGACUCUACCAAAUGUGUGUGUAACUCAGCUUACCUAGUGUUAAAUGGGAGAUCAUCUUCUUCUAAUAAUCAAAAUUGUGAACUGAAAAAAUUUUUGGUGUUUUGCUUGAGAUAUCGAAGCAGAAGAUGCCUUUCAUUUUAUGGAUUUUUAUGGGACUAUAUAAAAACCAGAUGUUUUCUUUAAAAAGACGAUAUUGAUUUAUGAACAACUGAACAGUAGCCAUUAAAGUAUUUCAUAAAGAAAAAUUUAUGAAAAUCAAUUUGAGCUUAUUUGGUAUGAAGUUUUAUCAUUAAAGUAUCAGUUGUUAUCUCUACUUUUGUGUUAUUAUUGCUAUCAAAUGACACAGAAGUACUUUAACUGCAUGCAUACAUAGUACAUGCAUUAAAAUGGUAUUUCAUUGUUUCAUUGUAUGAAAAUGUUGCACAAAGGUUUAAUGACGAAAAAAAAUUUAAAUGAUAAAAAAUGAAGUUUCAUUUAUUUUUCAUUGAAAUAAAAUAUAUUUGCUAUCUGA